GACGGGGGGUGCUAGCGUUGUUCGGAAUCACUGGGCGUAAAGGGCGCGCAGGCGGCCGCGCAAGUCGGAUGUGAAAGCCCGGGGCUCAACUCCGGAAUGGCAUUCGAGACUGCGUGGCUCGAGACCGGAAGAGGAGGGUGGAAUUCCCAGUGUAGAGGUGAAAUUCGUAGAUAUUGGGAGGGACACCGGUGGCGAAAGCGGCUCUCUGGUCCGGUUCUGACGCUGAGGCGCGAAAGCGUGGGGAGCAAACAGGAUUAGAUACCCCGGUAGU
Molecule: ribosomal RNA, 271 nt
Filed under: uncultured bacterium
Lineage: Bacteria
Description: partial 16S ribosomal RNA
Rfam family: Bacterial small subunit ribosomal RNA
Source: RNAcentral